UGCUGGAGGUAUCAGAAGUGCGAAUGCUGACAUAAGUAACGAUAAAGCGGGUGAAAAGCCCGCUCGCCGGAAGACCAAGGGUUCCUGUCCAACGUUAAUCGGGGCAGGGUGAGUCGACCCCUAAGGCGAGGCCGAAAGGCGUAGUCGAUGGGAAACAGGUUAAUAUUCCUGUACUUGGUGUUACUGCGAAGGGGGGACGGAGAAGGCUAUGUUAGCCGGGCGACGGUUGUCCCGGUUUAAGCAUGUAGGCUGGUUAUCCAGGCAAAUCCGGAUAAUCAAGGCUGAGGUGUGAUGACGAGGCACUACGGUGCUGAAGUAACAAAUGCCCUGCUUCCAGGAAAAGCCUCUAAGCAUCAGGUAACAUCAAAUCGUACCCCAAACCGACACAGGUGGUCAGGUAGAGAAUACCAAGGCGCUUGAGAGAACUCGGGUGAAGGAACUAGGCAAAAUGGUGCCGUAACUUCGGGAGAAGGCACGCUGGUGUGUAGGUGAAGUCCCUGCGGAUGGAGCUGAGACCAGUCGAAGAUACCAGCUGGCUGCAACUGUUUAUUAAAAACACAGCACUGUGCAAACACGAAAGUGGACGUAUACGGUGUGACGCCUGCCCGGUGCCGGAAGGUUAAUUGAUGGGGUUAUCCGUAAGGAGAAGCUCUUGAUCGAAGCCCCGGUAAACGGCGGCCGUAACUAUAACGGUCCUAAGGUAGCGAAAUUCCUUGUCGGGUAAGUUCCGACCUGCACGAAUGGCGUAAUGAUGGCCAGGCUGUCUCCACCCGAGACUCAGUGAAAUUGAACUCGCUGUGAAGAUGCAGUGUACCCGCGGCAAGACGGAAAGACCCCGUGAACCUUUACUAUAGCUUGACACUGAACAUUGAGCCUUGAUGUGUAGGAUAGGUGGGAGGCUUUGAAGCGUGGACGCCAGUCUGCGUGGAGCCAACCUUGAAAUACCACCCUUUAAUGUUUGAUGUUCUAACGUGGGCCCCUUAUCGGGGUUGCGGACAGUGUCUGGUGGGUAGUUUGACUGGGGCGGUCUCCUCCCAAAGCGUAACGGAGGAGCACGAAGGUUAGCUAAUCCUGGUCGGACAUCAGGAGGUUAGUGCAAUGGCAUAAGCUAGCUUGACUGCGAGCGUGACGGCGCGAGCAGGUGCGAAAGCAGGUCAUAGUGAUCCGGUGGUUCUGAAUGGAAGGGCCAUCGCUCAACGGAUAAAAGGUACUCCGGGGAUAACAGGCUGAUACCGCCCAAGAGUUCAUAUCGACGGCGGUGUUUGGCACCUCGAUGUCGGCUCAUCACAUCCUGGGGCUGAAGUAGGUCCCAAGGGUAUGGCUGUUCGCCAUUUAAAGUGGUACGCGAGCUGGGUUUAGAACGUCGUGAGACAGUUCGGUCCCUAUCUGCCGUGGGCGCUGGAGAAUUGAGGGGGGCUGCUCCUAGUACGAGAGGACCGGAGUGGACGCAUCACUGGUGUUCGGGUUGUCAUGCCAAUGGCACUGCCCGGUAGCUAAAUGCGGAAGAGAUAAGUGCUGAAAGCAUCUAAGCACGAAACUUGCCCCGAGAUGAGUUCUCCCUGAGACUAUAAGUCUCCUGAAGGAACGUUGAAGACGACGACGUUGAUAGGCCGGGUGUGUAAGCGCAGCGAUGCGUUGAGCUAACCGGUACUAAUGAACCGUGAGGCUUAACCUU
RNAcentral lists this ribosomal RNA (1675 nucleotides) under Klebsiella quasipneumoniae. RNAcentral's name for it is "partial 23S ribosomal RNA". It matches the Rfam family "Bacterial large subunit ribosomal RNA", at positions 1271 to 2925 of the family's 2925-position model. The record is from RNAcentral. Lineage: Bacteria; Pseudomonadati; Pseudomonadota; Gammaproteobacteria; Enterobacterales; Enterobacteriaceae.